GGCGGCAUNCCUUACACAUGCAAGUCGAACGGCAGCACGGACUUCGGUCUGGUGGCGAGUGGCGAACGGGUGAGUAAUACAUCGGAACGUGCCUAGUAGUGGGGGAUAACUACUCGAAAGAGUGGCUAAUACCGCAUGAGAUCUACGGAUGAAAGCAGGGGAUCGCAAGACCUUGUGCUACUAGAGCGGCUGAUGGCAGAUUAGGUAGUUGGUGGGAUAAAAGCUUACCAAGCCGACGAUCUGUAGCUGGUCUGAGAGGACGAUCAGCCACACUGGGACUGAGACACGGCCCAGACUCCUACGGGAGGCAGCAGUGGGGAAUUUUGGACAAUGGGCGCAAGCCUGAUCCAGCAAUGCCGCGUGCAGGAUGAAGGCCUUCGGGUUGUAAACUGCUUUUGUACGGAACGAAAAGCUUUGGGCUAAUACCCUGGAGUCAUGACGGUACCGUAAGAAUAAGCACCGGCUAACUACGUGCCAGC
RNAcentral lists this ribosomal RNA (479 nucleotides) under uncultured bacterium. Its description in RNAcentral is "bacterial SSU rRNA". It matches the Rfam family "Bacterial small subunit ribosomal RNA", at positions 38 to 512 of the family's 1533-position model. The record is from RNAcentral.